GGACCAGUAUGUUGGUCGUGCUUCGGUACGUACUGUCAUUACCGGUUUCUACCUUCUGAAGAACCGCGAUGUCAUUAAUUUGGUGUCGUGGGGAAUCAGGACUGUUACUUUGAAAAAAUUAGAGUGUUUAAAGCAGGCUCGCGCUUGAAUACAUUAGCAUGGAAUAAUGAAAUAGGACGUUUGAUUCUAUUUUGUUGGUUUCUAGGAUCGACGUAAUGAU
Molecule: ribosomal RNA, 220 nt
Filed under: uncultured fungus
Lineage: Eukaryota; Fungi
Description: partial 18S ribosomal RNA
Rfam family: Eukaryotic small subunit ribosomal RNA (bases 46-220)
Source: RNAcentral